RNAcentral lists this ribosomal RNA (124 nucleotides) under uncultured bacterium. Its description in RNAcentral is "partial 16S ribosomal RNA". It matches the Rfam family "Bacterial small subunit ribosomal RNA", at positions 383 to 524 of the family's 1533-position model. The record is from RNAcentral.
CUGAUNCAGCCAUGCCGCGUGAGUGAAGAAGGCCUUCGGGUUGUAAAGCUCUUUCAGAUGCGAAGAUGAUGACGGUAACAUCAGAAGAAGCCCCGGCUAAUUUCGUGCCAGCAGCCGCGGUAAU